AUGCUGGCCUCAACAGCACAUAUACUAAAACUGGAACAAUACAGAGACGAGCGUGGCCUCUGCAUGAGGAUGACCCGCAAAUUCAUGAAGCGUUCCAUAUAUUU
This is a small nuclear RNA of Callithrix jacchus (white-tufted-ear marmoset), 104 nucleotides long. The record is from Ensembl. NCBI's taxonomy places the organism in Eukaryota, Metazoa, Chordata, Mammalia, Primates, Cebidae.